Diospyros lotus (date-plum) is the source of this 735-nucleotide long non-coding RNA. RefSeq lists it as uncharacterized. NCBI's taxonomy places the organism in Eukaryota, Viridiplantae, Streptophyta, Magnoliopsida, Ericales, Ebenaceae. The record is from RefSeq and is a predicted model, not a curated record. The transcript is spliced from 4 exons.
CCCUCCUCUCCCCAAACCCCCCAAUCAUCCUGCAAACCCGCAGCCCUCAAAUCCCCCAAAUCCCCAACCUUUCGUCGCCUCCUACUGUCGUCGCUUCAACGAUUUCACUUCCGCCGCUUCAACAGCUCAGCUUCAACGUUGCUGCUUCCGCCGCUUCAACAGUUCCUCUUCAAUGUUGCCACUUUCGCCUCCACAUUUACCAUAUUAUAAGGCAUAUGCAAAGAGCGAACAGUUUCCACACUCUCCAUCACCUUGUCGCAAUAUGAUGAACAGGAAUUGGAUGCAAUUGGAUGAUAGACUUUGUGCAUUAGUAGAGCUCACCUGAGUUUCAGGAAAAUAUUCAAACUAUAGCAGCCCAAAGAGUUGAGGAGCAACCUUCUGAACCUGCUGAUGAAAAUCAGAUUUUUCUUGAAGUGAUGGGCAAAAAAAGGCAUGGUCAAGUUCGUGGAUAUGGUUUUGGUCGCACACCUUCUUCAUUCUCUAGCAAGCUUCCUUCUCAAUUACAAAUGGCUUCAACAAUUGAAACACUAAGACAAGAGAAUAAAGAGUUGAAAGAAAAACUAAGCACAGUAGAGCAAACCCAAGCAGAAACUCUUAGCUUGCUAAAAAGCUUCAUGGAAGAGGUUAGAUUAGGAAGGGUUAGUAAUGAAUGAUGAUGCUCUACUGAUUUGACAUGUUUUAGUUGAUGAAUAGUAUUCAACAUUCCAUAUUUUGUAGGUUUAUUGAUUUUGUAAA